This is a non-coding RNA of Cinara cedri, 928 nucleotides long. Lineage: Eukaryota; Metazoa; Arthropoda; Insecta; Hemiptera; Aphididae. The record is from the annotation of a GenBank genome assembly.
GGUUAAUCCAAUAUUUACGGUUUUUAUUUAUCUCCUUCUUCUUAAGUACCAUCAGAAGAAAACAUCGUCCUCAUCAGAUGAUGACAUGGUUGUUACCGCGUUGCUUCUAUUUGAGAGCUGGGGGGGGGGGCAAUACGUAUUGUCUGUUGAAUAUUGUGAGUUACUACAGAUAUGUAGUUGCUCGUUGACUAUUGCUCCGGUGUGAGAGCCGCUUUACUGAAUUUUUUUUCGAAAUAGUUAUUCUAGUGAUACUAGAAUGCUGAUUGAUAUAGUUUAAUAACAGUACAGUUUGGAUCACUACUAUAAUACGCGUGACAGCUGAAAUGAAAAUAAAAUAAGUGUCUAUGCAGUUCAUUUUUUGAUAAUUAUUAAUUAUAUUCAAUACUUACGUUCAAAAAUAUGAUCAUCUAAAAUGCACCAAUUUACGUUUGAUGCCAUUAUUAUUUUAAUUAUUUAUUUUUUAAAUAAUAUUUUAAAAUUAAUUUAAAAAAUGUGAACAUAACAAACAUAGAAAAAAGAUAAUAACAAGUAAAACUUGACAGAGUCGGUCGGUUAGUGAUAGUGGUGCGAAACCGCCACAGAAAAAUUUAUAAGGUUGGAUGAAUUUCAGAAGAAAUCGGACAAUACCAGUAAUGUAAGAGCAAUGAGGAUUUAAGUAGGUAGGUAUCUAUUAUCUUAUCUAAUAGUUUAUUAUUUAUUAUUAUUAUUUUUUGUCGAUCGAUUUUAUGCCUAACCUAACCUAUCCAGUGUUUUGUCGGAACCGUAUUUUGUUUGAUCCGCAUUUGGUCGGAAAAAUAUGUAUAAUAAUAUAUAUAUAUAUUAUAUUCUAAUAUUUUACCGCCUCCACAUUGUAAUCUGAUGACGUAUGCCAGUAGUUUUCAACCUUUUUGGGUCUACGGCUCUUCUGAUUUCGAAAACCAAAUUAGCG